Seriola aureovittata is the source of this 474-nucleotide long non-coding RNA. RefSeq lists it as uncharacterized. The record is from RefSeq and is a predicted model, not a curated record. Lineage: Eukaryota; Metazoa; Chordata; Actinopteri; Carangiformes; Carangidae. The transcript is spliced from 4 exons.
AGAACAUACACUCUGAUUGCUUGGAUCUGGCCCUUGAGUGCAGUUUCGACCCUGCCAGAUGUGUUUAUUGUUUAUUGGCAGACACAGGAAAGUAAAACGGUCAUUUUCAAGUCAAGUGAGAAAAGCAGGCGACAUGUGUUGCGAUCAUCAUUUCCGAUAACGGAGCUCUCGGUCCUGACUCGUCGUGGCAGAGCAUCAAACUGUGUUAGCAUCAUCCUCUCUCCUCUUUGAGGCUCGGACCAACAUCCAUCAGCUCGGCUCCACGGCCUCUUCCUGCAGUCGCCACAGGUGUGAGCUGUGGAGGAAUCACCUGCAGUUAAAGGGUGAGAGAAGGUCCUGCUUCACAUCCAGCUGCAGGAGAGGACGAGGCCUCAGACCCAGGGAGCAGACCUCAGCUACUUCCUGUUUGUCUGUGCGGCGGGAGGACGGUGUUCAACAUUAGAGAGGGACGAGCGGACGAAGACGGACUGACCU